AUGAUGCUUCUUAAAAAGUAUUUUCUGCUAGUGAGCAUGGGGUGUUGAAGAAGUCGACUCUAGCAAAAACUUGCAUUGAAAUAUACGACGAUUUUGAAACUAUCGCCAUCAACAUUAACGCGCACAAAUAAAAGCAAAUGUCACUUAAGUGCCGUGAAAGACGUGUGUGACCGAAUGGAAAUGUCAUGCGUUCACCAUACCACCAUCUUCAGAGAGUGAGAGAGAGAGUAAGCCACCUGAAGCCAAAUCCCCCAGACAUGAGAUAUAAGCCGAUCGAUGAAUAUGAACCGCUUUGGCCUAUUUUCAAUCCAAACCAAACUAACUCAUCAUCAGGAAGUAUUUGUGAAAAUACGGCUAGCUUUACUCUUUCAUCAGACGGACGGACAUCGCUUUAUCUAGCAUGAAUGUCAUGGGGAUCAAGAAUAUAUGUAGAAAUUUUAUAUGGUCAUAGACCAAUUUCUCGAGAUGUUUGACACGGCGUAACGAAGAUAGGGUACCACCCUUGUAAGACUCAAAAACGGCUGAAUCCAAAAAUUUUCACAGAUGGUAGAGUUUGAGCCCCCGGUGAAAAUAGGGUACUAAAUUUUUUCAUAUACGAAGGGGGGCGGACCCUCCCCCUUACCCUCAUUUUCAAAAACACCAGAUCACGGAGAUGUGUGCACCGAUUUAAGCUAAAUUUUGUAUGCCCAAAAAGACGAAGUUGGUAUUACAUUUUGUGGUUAAAUAACUUGAGGGGACGCC
Molecule: long non-coding RNA, 741 nt
Organism: Stomoxys calcitrans (stable fly)
Lineage: Eukaryota; Metazoa; Arthropoda; Insecta; Diptera; Muscidae
Exons: 3
Source: RefSeq, a predicted model, not a curated record